GAUGAACGCUGGCGGCGUGCCUAAUACAUGCAAGUCGAGCGAACGGACGAUAAGCUUGCUUCUCUGAUGUUAGCGGCGGACGGGUGAGUAACACGUGGAUAACCUACCUAUAAGACUGGGAUAACUUCGGGAAACCGGAGCUAAUACCGGAUAAUAUUUUGAACCGCAUGGUUCAAGAGUGAAAGACGGUCUUGCUGUCACUUAUAGAUGGAUCCGCGCUGCAUUAGCUAGUUGGUAAGGUAACGGCUUACCAAGGCAACGAUGCAUAGCCGACCUGAGAGGGUGAUCGGCCACACUGGAACUGAGACACGGUCCAGACUCCUACGGGAGGCAGCAGUAGGGAAUCUUCCGCAAUGGGCGAAAGCCUGACGGAGCAACGCCGCGUGAGUGAUGAAGGUCUUCGGAUCGUAAAACUCUGUUAUUAGGGAAGAAAAUAUGUGUAAGUAACUGUGCACAUCUUGACGGUACCUAAUCAGAAAGCCACGGCUAACUACGUG
Molecule: ribosomal RNA, 497 nt
Filed under: uncultured bacterium
Lineage: Bacteria
Description: partial 16S ribosomal RNA
Rfam family: Bacterial small subunit ribosomal RNA
Source: RNAcentral